RNAcentral lists this long non-coding RNA (1233 nucleotides) under Corvus moneduloides (New Caledonian crow). Its description in RNAcentral is "lncRNA (ENSCMUG00000017801.1)". Lineage: Eukaryota; Metazoa; Chordata; Aves; Passeriformes; Corvidae. The record is from RNAcentral.
AUGAUCCCGCCGGGAACGCACGGGCUGAGCCAGCCCCUCACUCCCAGACUGGAUUCAAAUCCUGGGAUCGCCCCGGGUCAUUCCCGGCUCCUCCAGGACGCGGCGGAGCCUCUGCCCCAUCCCUGGGCCCAUCCCAAUCCCGCUCCCGUCUGUCCCAGGCCGCUGCCGGCUCCGGGAGCUCCGGGAGCCGCCUCUGGAGCAGAAUUCCCGGCGCAGCUGCUUCCAGUUACGGCUCCGGCACAUGAAAGGAGCGCGGGGUUAAAUUUAGCCGGGCAGGAAAAGCCUUUUAUCCUCCUGCUUCAUCCCGGCCCCAAGCCCAUCCCGGGGCCCGGCAGCCACCGGGAAACCACAAUUCCCUCUGGGAGCGCCCCGCGGAGCCGCCGCCGCCACCUCCGGGCUGGGCACGGGACAGGGACACAGGGACAUGGGGACAGUGACAGGGACACAGGGACACAGGGACAGGGACACAGGGACACAGGGACAGGGACACAGAGACAGGGACAUGAGGACAGUGUCACGGGGACAGGGACAUGGGGACACCACCAGCGCAGGCAGCGGCGGGAGCCGGGAGCCCGCGGGAUCCGGGGAGCGGCGGGGGAGCCGCCCCGGAAUUUGUUUGGAUCCCGCUCCGCGGUUUUCCAGAGGUGCCUCCAGGUCUGCGGGAGGAGCCUCGCGCCGGGCCCGGGGUGGUGGGAAUGGAGCUGGGAGCGGCUGUGGGGUCGCUGCCACCCCUUGGGGCUCUCCCCAAAAACCCCAACGCAACCCCGCGCCCAGCAGGGGCCUGGUCAGGACCAGGGGAGGCUCUCAACUUUCCCAGUAAUUGUGAAAUCCCGCGGGGAAAGUGCGAAGAGCGGGAAUGUCCCGGGCUCCAGCACCACGGAAGUGUCAGGCCGUGUAAAGUCGGACUCGGUGAUCCCAAAUCCCGGGAUCUGGGGCCGGGGGCCAGCGGUGGCACCUCCGGAGCGCGUUCCGCCCCUCGGGGGGGUUUGGGGGCUCCGCCACCCACGGCGCGAGCGGCAUCGCCCAGGAUCCCGCGGCAGCAUUCCAAGGAAUCCGCGGCUGGCUCCGCUCCCUGUGCCCGCUCCCGUCUGCAGGUUCGCUGCGGUGGCACCAUCAGGAGGCAGCUCCAGCCGGGAUUUUCCUCACUGGAAGCAGGAAAAUCGCUCCAGCCUUUCCCACAGCAGCAGGAGGCUCCGGGAAUCCCCUCUUGGAAAAGUUCCUGACCCAGUUUGA